This 1356-nucleotide ribosomal RNA is filed under the name Campylobacter jejuni. RNAcentral describes it as "bacterial SSU rRNA". It matches the Rfam family "Bacterial small subunit ribosomal RNA", at positions 156 to 1533 of the family's 1533-position model. Lineage: Bacteria; Pseudomonadati; Campylobacterota; Epsilonproteobacteria; Campylobacterales; Campylobacteraceae. The record is from RNAcentral.
ACGACUGCUAAUACUCUAUACUCCUGCUUAACACAAGUUGAGUAGGGAAAGUUUUUCGGUGUAGGAUGAGACUAUAUAGUAUCAGCUAGUUGGUAAGGUAAUGGCUUACCAAGGCUAUGACGCUUAACUGGUCUGAGAGGAUGAUCAGUCACACUGGAACUGAGACACGGUCCAGACUCCUACGGGAGGCAGCAGUAGGGAAUAUUGCGCAAUGGGGGAAACCCUGACGCAGCAACGCCGCGUGGAGGAUGACACUUUUCGGAGCGUAAACUCCUUUUCUUAGGGAAGAAUUCUGACGGUACCUAAGGAAUAAGCACCGGCUAACUCCGUGCCAGCAGCCGCGGUAAUACGGAGGGUGCAAGCGUUACUCGGAAUCACUGGGCGUAAAGGGCGCGUAGGCGGAUUAUCAAGUCUCUUGUGAAAUCUAAUGGCUUAACCAUUAAACUGCUUGGGAAACUGAUAGUCUAGAGUGAGGGAGAGGCAGAUGGAAUUGGUGGUGUAGGGGUAAAAUCCGUAGAUAUCACCAAGAAUACCCAUUGCGAAGGCGAUCUGCUGGAACUCAACUGACGCUAAGGCGCGAAAGCGUGGGGAGCAAACAGGAUUAGAUACCCUGGUAGUCCACGCCCUAAACGAUGUACACUAGUUGUUGGGAUGCUAGUCAUCUCAGUAAUGCAGCUAACGCAUUAAGUGUACCGCCUGGGGAGUACGGUCGCAAGAUUAAAACUCAAAGGAAUAGACGGGGACCCGCACAAGCGGUGGAGCAUGUGGUUUAAUUCGAAGAUACGCGAAGAACCUUACCUGGGCUUGAUAUCCUAAGAACCUUAUAGAGAUAUGAGGGUGCUAGCUUGCUAGAACUUAGAGACAGGUGCUGCACGGCUGUCGUCAGCUCGUGUCGUGAGAUGUUGGGUUAAGUCCCGCAACGAGCGCAACCCACGUAUUUAGUUGCUAACGGUUCGGCCGAGCACUCUAAAUAGACUGCCUUCGUAAGGAGGAGGAAGGUGUGGACGACGUCAAGUCAUCAUGGCCCUUAUGCCCAGGGCGACACACGUGCUACAAUGGCAUAUACAAUGAGACGCAAUACCGCGAGGUGGAGCAAAUCUAUAAAAUAUGUCCCAGUUCGGAUUGUUCUCUGCAACUCGAGAGCAUGAAGCCGGAAUCGCUAGUAAUCGUAGAUCAGCCAUGCUACGGUGAAUACGUUCCCGGGUCUUGUACUCACCGCCCGUCACACCAUGGGAGUUGAUUUCACUCGAAGCCGGAAUACUAAACUAGUUACCGUCCACAGUGGAAUCAGCGACUGGGGUGAAGUCGUAACAAGGUAACCGUAGGAGAACCUGCGGUUGGAUCACCUCCUUUCUA